UACGUAGGGGCCAAGCGUUGUCCGGAUUUAUUGGGCGUAAAGAGCUCGUAGGCGGUUGGGUAAGUCGGGUGUGAAAACUCCAGGCUCAACUUGGAGAGGCCACCCGAUACUGCUCUGACUUGAGUUCGGUAGGGGAGUGGGGAAUUCCUGGUGUAGCGGUGAAAUGCGCAGAUAUCAGGAGGAACACCGGUGGCGAAGGCGGGAUCCUGGGCCAGUACUGACGCUGAUGAGCGAAAGCGUGGGGAGCGAACAGG
Molecule: ribosomal RNA, 254 nt
Filed under: uncultured bacterium
Lineage: Bacteria
Description: partial 16S ribosomal RNA
Rfam family: Bacterial small subunit ribosomal RNA
Source: RNAcentral